Molecule: long non-coding RNA, 928 nt
Organism: Symsagittifera roscoffensis
Lineage: Eukaryota; Metazoa; Xenacoelomorpha; Acoela; Convolutidae
Exons: 3
Source: RefSeq, a predicted model, not a curated record
UUAAACCGCCACUAUACCUACCUACACGCAGAGCGGAGAGAGCUUUAAUUCAACAAAAACAAUUACCACAGUUAUCGACAUUUUUCUGAUCUGAUGGUUGGAUUUAAAUUGACCAAGUCAAGAUAAACGAAAAGUAAACUUGAGCAGCUCAAUUGUUUGUAUAAAGUCCUAAAUCGGACUUUCUUUCUUUUUUGUAAAUGCUCUCGAAUUAAACAACCCAUUACACUCUGGUUAUGAAAACUGCUGUUACAAUUAUUGGCGUCUUAAUUUCUUUGAUAUUGAAGCAAAACUCAGGGAGCUGUCAACAAUCAUACUUAAGCGACUCGAACUGAUUGUUUACAAACAAUGCCGGCCUCUGAUCACGACUUAUCUACACCCCAACACUCUCCAAACAUGCACAAACACCAUCAGACGCUGACGAGAAACAAAUUAGUUAAAAGUAGACCAAGUCUCUUCACCCUUUUAUUUACGGCAUUAACUGGGCUAGCUGUAAUCGUUGUUAUUCCGCCUUUUCUACAGCAACAAAGCAGCGGAAUAAAAAGAUCUGCCAGGUAUGAGCUGCGAUCAUCUGAAAUGAUGUCACAAAAUUCUUUGAGUGACUCAGACUUCCCUUCUUUGCCUCAGCCUCGCAUAUCAAAAGUGGACCGAUCUACAUCUGCGGAGAGAUGCAACAAAAUCAUAAAUUUAUCUAAAUUCAACCGGAGCCAAUCGCAAGAAGACCAAUUGUUCUUUCUAGAAACUUCUGGCAAGACCUUUCUCGACGCCAGACAGUCUUGUUCAGUGGAAUCGGCUGCUCUGAAAUCAGGUCUGGUCUGCAAAGUCCUUCUCAAAUCGGCAAUAUUGAAUUUGUCUAAAACCGAGAGUGUAUGCGAGCUAUUUUACAAUUAUGACAACGUGCAGUUCUACACAAUAGAUUUUGGGAAGUUAU